This is a non-coding RNA of Hordeum vulgare subsp. vulgare (domesticated barley), 118 nucleotides long. NCBI's taxonomy places the organism in Eukaryota, Viridiplantae, Streptophyta, Magnoliopsida, Poales, Poaceae. The record is from Rfam.
UGGUAGCAUCCAAAAGAUAAGGUGCAUGCCCGAUACAGUCUUCCUAGAGUAAAACUAUCAUUUCCUGCUUGUGGUAUUGUUAGCAAGUUCUACAAGUCUCAAAUGAUAAGACAGCUUC